Molecule: ribosomal RNA, 253 nt
Filed under: uncultured bacterium
Lineage: Bacteria
Description: partial 16S ribosomal RNA
Rfam family: Bacterial small subunit ribosomal RNA
Source: RNAcentral
UACGGAGGGUGCAAGCGUUAUCCGGAUUCACUGGGUUUAGAGGGUGCGUAGGUGGCUUUGUAAGUCAGUGGUGAAAUCUUAGAGCUUAACUCUAAAACUGCCAUUGAUACUGCUUAGCUUGAAUCAAGUAGAGGUGGAUGGAAUAAUACAUGUAGCGGUGAAAUGCUUAGAUAUGUAUUAGAACACCGAUUGCGAAGGCAGUUCACUAUGCUUGUAUUGACACUGAGGCACGAAAGCGUGGGGAUCAAACAGG